GCUUGAACUUUUUCUUUUCUUGUUCUGUCCGUGUUAAGAUUAGUGUUUAUUUGCUACUCUUUUAACUCUGCGGCGUCGCUUUCAUUUUCUUAUUGUUGAGUUCUUGAUCGUUGUGCUAUACUUUUUCUGCAGUGAAGUAAUAACGCUAACUGAGGCCCUUGGCAAAAUAAUCGAGUGUGGGGCCUGUGGUCACGGCCCCUCGGUCAAAUUGGGGCCACUCUUGGGUCAGGCGGCCCUUAGGAUUUUGGCGGCUUAGUAUAGUUACUCUACUGUUUGUCAUUGAGUGCGAAAUGUUUGUUCUAAGUUAGCAUUCUAUUCUGUCCAGCUUUCGAUUUCGUAGUGUUUCUAAAGUUGUAUAUUCCCAGCUGUGCCCGCCUCACGUGACCACUGCCAUACAAGAGCCGGGCACAGAGUGGUAUGAUUUAUAUGUAGCGCCUAUUCCCAUCUGUGCCCGGCGGGGACAGAUGGGAAUACACCUUUCCAAAUAUCAUGGAGCUGGGAAAUAUUAAUAAUCUAACCUGUAUUUGUUGCUAUUAAUUAUAAAAAAAUUACGAAACAGUGUUAUUGAUACAUGUCUUGUAUGAUUAAUAAUGUUUUAUUAUAAUGGUUGUGAAUUUAUUGGUUGUUAUAUGUUGAAGUUGUAGUUUCUGAAAGGUAACAUCACAUGGUCAAAAACUUCAACCCCAUGAACACAGGCAAGCACAAAGUACCAUCAAUAAUCCUCGAUAAGUUGCCUGGCUGUUUGCAGUGCAUUUAAACCUAUCAGUAUUUAUUCUAUAUCUGAAACUAAUUCACAUUAAAAAUGUGACCGUCGCAAGUCCGUUUCACCUGAAAUAGAAAAACCUGUUAUAAAGUGUUCAGUCAGUUCUGCCCUGACAGGUCUUGGUUGCUUGCUCGCUAAUAGGGUUUGCAUGAUCGAUCUGAAAUGUUUGGGAAGAUCCGCAGUUCCAAAUCUGGAUGGUUUCAUACAUUUCGGAACCGGAUUGCAGACCCUAUCCACUAGCUUAGGAAUAAUGGAUUGUUUCGGAUUUUUGCAUUAAUGAAAAUAUUAAUUACUAAUGUGAAAGCACACUGACAAUUUGGGUUGGGUUUUGGGUUUUUAUAUUUCAAAAAAAUCCUCAAUAUCUAGGAGUACAUUUGGAGCAUUCGAAAUGAAGACCUAUGAAGUAUAUGGCAGCAAACACCCAGAGACUGUGACACGGUAAUGGAUAUGGAUUGGACAUACUAUACGAAGAGGGGAAACGAAUGACCCUACAUUUUGAUUGGAAAUUGUUGGAUGGAAGCUGUGGCUCAGGGUGUUCUAUACACUCAUGGCAAUGGUCCAUCAUAAGUGAGCUAUGAGUGGUUGGGUUGAGCUGGAGCGAGGCCAGAAGGGUCGCUGAAAAUAGGAUGGUGCAGUGCGGGCUUGUGAAGGCCCUGUGCACCUCUUGGGUGCCUUAGGACAACUAGAACAACCUUUGGAGUUCCCUAUCCGAGUCAAUUCCGUCCUCCAAGCUAUUGUUUGGUUACUCAUUAGCUUAGGAAUAGACAAUUGAUUUGGGUAGUUAUAUUAAAAGAAAUGGUCAAUAACUUUAACCUCAUAUUACAUAAGAAAGCUCAAUGUACCAUUCAUAUUAAUAUUAAGUAAUUAAUUACUGCAGCCUCUUGCAGUGCAAUUAAAUCUCAGAAUUUAUUUUUUAUCCAAAAUGUAUUUACUUACUCUAAAAUUGUCAUUUUUAAGGCUCGCUCAACUGAGUAUAAGUUUUGCACAGCUAUCUCACAAUUACAAGCAGUUGUAAUAAAAUUAUCUAAAAACAAGCUGGAGUGUCCAGCUCUUGUUUGAUUAAUUCGGGUUGUGAUAUAAUAAUAAUAAAAGAACUAAACUGGGAGCACCUUUGGAGAUCCCUAUUUGAGUCAGUUCUGCCCUGACAGCUCGCUUGCUGUUUGGGAGCUUAGGGAUAGAGGGUUGUUUCGGGAUGUUAAAAAAAAAGAAUGACUUCAAUAACCAAGGCUUUGGAAUACGGAUAUUUGAGUCAGUUCUGCCGUAACAGGUCUUGUUAGCUCGCUGUGAGGUAUGUUUUGGGUACAUUGUUAUAUUUUUAAAAACUUAUUUUUUUAAAAGUUUAUUCUGCAAGUAAGCCUCAAGGGGCUCUUUCACAAGUCAAUACAACAUUUAUAGGCCUAUCAAAUUAGAUGCAUACGCGAAGGCUUGACGUACAAUAAAUACUGUGAUCCAUCAGUAUGGUGAAUACUAAAUUUAUUUCUUGUACUACUAUAGCUACUCGUGUUAUUUUUUUGUUUGGCAGCAAAAAUGUUUUUUGUUGGUUUGGCACCGCCUUCAAAAACGUAAGUAAUUACCAGGAUGGGUAUUAAUUUUCUUAUGAUUAGGUAUAACUUAAUUUUUGACAGAAAUUUGCAUUAGGACGGGAUAGGGACUGGACAAGGAUAGGAGUGGGGUACUUAUGUAAAAAUUAUAUUGUGCUUUUCUGUGGGUUCGUUUUUUAAAGGCGGUUCCCUUUUUAUUAAUGAUAUGACUUUAAGUUAUUCUGUUGUUGUUUUUUUUUACGUUUUACUGAUAGGUACUUCAUUUAUUUUACGUUUUUUAUUAUCUUAUUUAUUUUAUUUUAUUAUUUUUAACUUUUUAGUGAUAGGUACGUUUUGAGUUUGUUUAUAGUUAGGUUAGGUUUUUUACGAAUAAAGAGGAGAGUUAUUCACGAGCCACCAGGAGAAAAUCCUGCAUCGGACGACUGGGAAUGGAGGGCCCAGACAGUGCCGGACUCUUACCGGCUAAAACCCAGUUUUUCGUUUGUACCUUCCUGGUUCCCCCGACAUGGGUAAGAUGCCGAACUCUGAAGAAGAGUGGUUGGAAAUUGCUGAUGGUUUUGAAAAGAAAUAUAUGCGUAAGUACAUAAGUUGUUAUGUGACCAGAGGGAGUCCCGAAAAAUAUACAUAAAAAAGUCAAAUAUACAUCAAACAUUCAUGAAAUGAAAGUUCAUGAAAAGGAAUUAUAAAUAAAAAAAAAAAAUAAAAAAUAAAAAAAAAAAAAAUCAUUUAUUUCAGACAACACUGUUACACAGGGUCCAUAUGUUACAAAAAAAACUAAAACUAUGACCUAAGCCUAUACUUAUAAAAUAAAUGGCCUCCUUGGUCCCCACCCUCCCUGCUCGCCUCUCCGAUUAGGUUGUACAGUCAGCGUCAAAUACCUUGCUGCAGUCAAAGCGGCCAAACAGUUCGGUACACCAUACUAAAUAUAUGGUGUACCGAACUAUUUGGCCACCCUGGUUGCUACAAAGUAUUUGACGCUGACUGUACAUGCAGAUCAGUGAACCGGGCAAGGACGGCAGAGUCCAGCCUAUCUGCUAUCAUCUUUAGGAUCCCGUUUCCGCUCGCCCACAUUCGCCGUACAAUGGACGCCGACUUUUUCCGCAUUAUUGCAUAAAAAUCAUCAACCGCUGCGUCAGCGAACAUUCCCGAAGCGCUACAACAGCGGGGGAGCCGAAACAGGGCCCUAAAGACAUUAUUAUAUUGCACUCUCAAUGCAUUAUACGCUCUCUGACUAAAGUGUACCCAUAAACCACUUGUAUAGAAACUUUGGCAAUAAGCAGUAAAAAGAGUUAGUUUUACAGGCACAGAACAACGCGUAAAUCUAUGAGCCAACAUAUUUCCUCGCACAGACAAAGACCUACGUUCUCGUUCCAAGUCCUUGUCAUCUUUGAGAUCAUCAGUCAAUAUAUGGCCCAAAUAUUUGAACUGUGACACCUGCUUGAUAGGCAUAUUGCUUAAGAGAAGUGGUGGAAUGUAAUAAGAAAAUUUAUUUUUACCUUUAAAAAUCAUGAACUCACUUUUCCUAACAUUAUACUUCAAGCCAUGUGUCUCAGCAUAUAAUAUACAUACAUUAUACAUACAUUCAUGAAAUUUAAAAUUUUGCUUACGAAGUUUGCAUCUAGUUUUGUUGCAUUGUGGGCGGAAAUAUUUUAGGUUUUCCUGUAAAUCCCUAGAGUCAGACCAAGCUAAGUUGGCAGCGAUUUCGAUAGUUCAGACAGUGCUAGUGUUAAGUAAACGUCAUAAGUUUGACGUUUAUAAUGAGUUUCACUCUCUGGGCUCUUGAAAUCGCUGCCAACCCCCCGCAUUUCGCACCCCGCGACCCGCUCGGCUCUACAAUACACCGCGAGGCUCAACACGACCGCGCGGCCUGUCCGUAGACCAUAUUCCGAGAAAACGCGCCCGCUCGCUUUGGUUUUAGAACAAUGAAACCCGUAGAAUCUAACUAUGGUAUAAUCGUUAUAUCGCAACUAAAGGUUGAACACGCCAAAACUGGGGCACACAAAAUGUAGUACAAAAUUAUAAUAAAAGUGAAAAAGUAUAUUAUGUUUUACACAUUUAAUAGCAUAUUUAACGCUGUUUAAAAUAACAUUCCAUAUUUUAGAUUUGGUCUACACAGUAAGCCAUUUUUCUAACUUUCCUACGUACACGGCUCAUAAGACUUUGCACCAUGUUAAUAGAACACUGUCUUGACGCCCAUGUCCACAUCUUUUGUAGUUCAGGGACCGAUUUUACUCCGCCGCCUUUCUUUUUUAAAAUUCCCUUCAUAAUACUCCAGUACUCUUCAACGGGCCGCAGUUCCGGACUAUUUGGGGGGUUGCACACUUUUGGUACCACCACGAUCCCAUUUGCAGCAUACCAUUCCAUCACUGGUUUUGAGUAGUGGCAACUGGCUAAAUCUGGCCAAAACAAAGGUGGUGAGUCAUGCUUUCUUAUGAAAGGUAGCAAACGUUUCUGCAAACACUCUUUUCUAUAAAUAUCGCCGUUUAUUGUCCCGGUAGUAAUAAACGGCCGACUUCUUUUCCCACAGCUACAUAUUGCUUGCCAAAGCAGGUACUUUUUUAGAAAUUUCGAACGUUUUUUUAAUUAACACUCUUCAGGGGCGUCUACUCUACUUAGGCUGGUAUAGAACUCUUGCCCAGGAAUUUGUUUAAAGUCACCUUUUAUGUAUGUUUCGUCGUCCAUGACGACGCAUGCAAAUUUGGUUAUGAAAUUCUCAUAAAGUUUUCGAGACCGUUUCUUCGCGGAUGAGUUCUGUUUCGAGUCUCGAUCUGGUGCUGCCUGGGCCUUAUAACUCCUUAGGCCAGCCCUACGUUUCACUUUUUGAACAUAGGACUGAGACAUUUUAACUUUUUUAGCAACAUCGCGAGACGAAAUCUUAGGAUUUGAGGCAAACAUGUUCACCACCUUCUCGUCCUUUUUUUUAUUCUUGACACCCUGCAAGCCUCCACUUCCUGGCUUCCGAUCUAU
Long non-coding RNA from Cydia pomonella (codling moth), 5271 nucleotides. RefSeq lists it as uncharacterized. The transcript is spliced from 2 exons. NCBI's taxonomy places the organism in Eukaryota, Metazoa, Arthropoda, Insecta, Lepidoptera, Tortricidae. The record is from RefSeq and is a predicted model, not a curated record.